This 262-nucleotide ribosomal RNA is filed under the name uncultured bacterium. RNAcentral describes it as "partial 16S ribosomal RNA". It matches the Rfam family "Bacterial small subunit ribosomal RNA", at positions 793 to 1055 of the family's 1533-position model. The record is from RNAcentral.
GUCCACGCCGUAAACGUUGGGAACUAGGUGUGGGCCUCAUUCCACGAGGUCUGUGCCGCAGCUAACGCAUUAAGUUCCCCGCCUGGGGAGUACGGCCGCAAGGCUAAAACUCAAAGGAAUUGACGGGGGCCCGCACAAGCGGCGGAGCAUGUGGAUUAAUUCGAUGCAACGCGAAGAACCUUACCAAGGCUUGACAUACACCGGAAACACCCAGAGAUGGGUGCCCCGCAAGGUCGGUGUACAGGUGGUGCAUGGUUGUCGU